AAAACGCGUUUUGUUUGAAUUUUGACACUGCAUUUUUCCAUUCCACUCAUUGCCGUUGUAUAUAUACGCGUGGAAUGAUUUAACUACACAUUCUUAGCUUGCAUUUCCUUCUCCAGAGCCCUCCCUUUCCUUCUUCGCUUUACUGCAUUUUGCAUUUUCAAUAGAACAAAUAUAUACAUACAUACGGGGAAAAAGUUUCGAUCCUUUCAAGAACCAUUUUUUUUCUCUCUCUAGAAAAAAUGGUUCUUGCAAGAUUCGGGUUAAUCAAGAACGUUG
Molecule: long non-coding RNA, 276 nt
Filed under: Olea europaea subsp. europaea
Lineage: Eukaryota; Viridiplantae; Streptophyta; Magnoliopsida; Lamiales; Oleaceae
Source: RNAcentral